RNAcentral lists this long non-coding RNA (913 nucleotides) under Felis catus (domestic cat). RNAcentral's name for it is "lncRNA (ENSFCAG00000050916.1)". Lineage: Eukaryota; Metazoa; Chordata; Mammalia; Carnivora; Felidae. The record is from RNAcentral.
UCCCUCGCUCUCUGCCCCUUCCCGUCCCCCCCCCCCCGCCUCUCAAAAAUAAAUAAACAUUAAAAAAUUAAAAAAAAAGCAGCCUGCAUUAGGGAAUCACAGAUACACACACACACACACACACACACACACACACACACACACACACACACACACACUUUGUCAAUGCGUCUCCUCUUGGAGCUAGAGGAGCAAAGAAAGGAGAAAAGACUGCUCAUGGCAUAUAUUUUUCUCCACCUCUGCAGCUGUCACAGGGAAAUCCUGUGAUGUCAGAGGUGGCAGGUAGGAGAGUCCUGAGAUGUGGGGGCCUGUGAACUUUGAAGGAGAGUCCCAGUGCUGCUUCCCGCAGUGUGAUCGGCACCUGUUUUGCUUAUCAUCCCUUCUCUGGCUUGCUUUAAGAGUGCCCACUGAAACCACGCAUUCCGAAAUGCACCAAACCAUUUUUUUUGUUUUAAAUAUCAACGGGGAGAAAAAUCAGAAACAAAGGCACAACCUCAAAGCAGCAGAAAUGUUCCGACUGCCUCUUCCUCAGCCACAGCGGUUGGUCUCAGCAAUUUUGACUCUUGGAGAAUUCCAAAAAAGAAGAGGGAUAAGGAAACACCUCUCACGGCAUUCCUCAGGGAUCUGGACUUCUCUGAAAAACGGCUUGAUGGCCCCAACACCUACAUGCCAAACAGUAAGCAACCACUGUUUGGCUUGGCUGUUUGCUUGACACCAACCUACUGCUCAGUGGGUGCCUGAGCUUUCUAAAAAGAAAGAUCUUUCCAAAUGAUAACAAACUUCCAAGUACACAUUUGGUACCUUAAAUUUAUUAGGCCUGCUGCAAUGAACAAACUGUCCUUGUUACUUAUUUCCAAGAGCAGUUGUAGUUUAAAAAAAUAAAAUUUCUGUCCAUUUUUAAUAUUUGCUGUUC